RNAcentral lists this ribosomal RNA (253 nucleotides) under uncultured bacterium. RNAcentral's name for it is "partial 16S ribosomal RNA". It matches the Rfam family "Bacterial small subunit ribosomal RNA", at positions 524 to 776 of the family's 1533-position model. The record is from RNAcentral.
UACGUAGGGCGCAAGCGUUGUCCGGAAUUACUGGGCGUAAAGGGCGCGUAGGCGGUUCGUUAAGUCCUGUGUGAAAUCCCCCGGCUCAACUGGGGAACUGCACAGGAAACUAGCGGGCUUGAGUUCGGGAGAGGGAAGCGGAAUUCCGGGUGUAGCGGUGAAAUGCGUAGAUAUCCGGAGGAACACCGGUGGCGAAGGCGGCUUCCUGGACCGACACUGACGCUGAGGCGCGAAAGCUAGGGGAGCAAACGGG